UGGCGAACGGGUGAGUAAUAUAUCGGAACGUACCCAAGAGUGGGGGAUAACGUAGCGAAAGUUACGCUAAUACCGCAUACGAUCCAAGGAUGAAAGCAGGGGAUCUUCGGACCUUGUGCUCCUGGAGCGGCCGAUAUCUGAUUAGCUAGUUGGUGAGGUAAAGGCUCACCAAGGCCACGAUCAGUAGCUGGUCUGAGAGGACGACCAGCCACACUGGAACUGAGACACGGUCCAGACUCCUACGGGAGGCAGCAGUGGGGAAUUUUGGGCAAUGGGCGAAAGCCUGAUCCAGCAAUGCCGCGUGAGUGAAGAAGGCCUUCGGGUUGUAAAGCUCUUUUGUCAGGGAAGAAACGGUGAGGGCUAAUAUCCCUCGCUAAUGACGGUACCUGAAGAAUAAGCACCGGCUAACUACGUGCCAGCAGCCGCGGUAAUACGUAGGGUGCAAGCGUUAAUCGGAAUUACUGGGCGUAAAGCGUGCGCAGGCGGUUUUGUAAGUCUGACGUGAAAUCCCCGGGCUCAACCUGGGAAUUGCGUUGGAGA
RNAcentral lists this ribosomal RNA (540 nucleotides) under uncultured Massilia sp. Its description in RNAcentral is "bacterial SSU rRNA". It matches the Rfam family "Bacterial small subunit ribosomal RNA", at positions 96 to 632 of the family's 1533-position model. The record is from RNAcentral. Lineage: Bacteria; Pseudomonadati; Pseudomonadota; Betaproteobacteria; Burkholderiales; Oxalobacteraceae.